AUCACUAUUGUCAACUCUCUCACUUCCUUCAAGCUCACUUUGGUGUAUGGCCCUACUAGAGGCAACCUGAAAGAUGCUUUCUUUCAAGAGCUUGUGAGCCUCAAGCCCCAGUUGGGUACCAGGUGGCUUGUUACGGGAGAUUUCAAUCAAAUAUACCGCGCUCGCGACAAAAACUGUGCAAACAUCGAUCGCUCUCGCCUCGUGCGCUUCCGAAACUCACUCAACACCUGUGAGCUGAAAGAAAUUCACCUCUAGAAUAGAAGGUUCACCUGGAGCAACGAGCAGACUAACCCGACCUUAAGCAAGUUGGAUUCUUUUUUCUGCAAUGAGGACUGG
Molecule: ribosomal RNA, 336 nt
Filed under: Triticum aestivum (bread wheat)
Lineage: Eukaryota; Viridiplantae; Streptophyta; Magnoliopsida; Poales; Poaceae
Description: partial small subunit ribosomal RNA
Source: RNAcentral